Molecule: long non-coding RNA, 530 nt
Filed under: Equus asinus (donkey)
Lineage: Eukaryota; Metazoa; Chordata; Mammalia; Perissodactyla; Equidae
Description: lncRNA (ENSEASG00005026348.1)
Source: RNAcentral
AAAUGGCAAAUGCCUCUCCGGGUGACAGCGUCCAGAAACAAGCAGCCUCUCACCCGGUGAGUGUGACAGAAACCUCACCCACAGCCAUGGCUGACAUCUGAGAGGUUUUCCGGGCAGCCUCCUUGAAGAGGUGAAGAUGGGCUCUGAAACAUUGGUAUGAAGGAGGUGAGAAGAGGGGAAAGACCAGUACUGAGGAAAGAGCUUUGAGAACUGAAGGCAGAAGCAGCUUGAAAACUGGAUGUAGCAAAGAUGAGAAGAGUGAUUAACAUAAACUAGGAGUGGAUGGUUAAUAAAGAUAUAUGCAGGAGGAGAGAGCUAACGUCAAAUGAAAAGAGUGCUGGUCUAGCAGUCAGGAGCCUUGAAUUCUAGUCCCAGCUCUGCCACAUCCAGGAUUUGUGCACGUCAUUUCCCUUCUGUGCCCAACUUCCAAAGGAAUGCUAAAGAUAGUGGACUCCAGCCUGCCACCAUACGUUCAUCCACCUGUAAUCAUUAAAAUACUCUUUCUUCUUUCUGUGUGUCAUACUAAUAAG